GUGACCCCAGGAUGGGCGAGGCCACCCGCCGAGUUUAAGCAUAUCUAUAAGCGGAGGAGAG
This 61-nucleotide ribosomal RNA is filed under the name Gongora sp. SRR-2011. RNAcentral describes it as "partial 26S ribosomal RNA". The record is from RNAcentral. Lineage: Eukaryota; Viridiplantae; Streptophyta; Magnoliopsida; Asparagales; Orchidaceae.